This is a non-coding RNA of Desmophyllum pertusum, 74 nucleotides long. The record is from the annotation of a GenBank genome assembly. NCBI's taxonomy places the organism in Eukaryota, Metazoa, Cnidaria, Anthozoa, Scleractinia, Caryophylliidae.
GCUCCAGUAGCUCAGUGGUAGAGCGUCCGGCCUUUGUGCGGAAGAUCAUAUAGGUUCAACUCCUGUUGGGAGAA